Long non-coding RNA from Phycodurus eques (leafy seadragon), 415 nucleotides. RefSeq lists it as uncharacterized. The transcript is spliced from 3 exons. The record is from RefSeq and is a predicted model, not a curated record. Lineage: Eukaryota; Metazoa; Chordata; Actinopteri; Syngnathiformes; Syngnathidae.
GUUGCAGCGCCCGACCCUAGUCGCGAAGAGGAGCGCUCGUGGAGGAAUUACAGACGGACACUUUCCUCACAUUGCUGCUUUUCUUUUCACACGGAUUAGGCGUGCGUCGUCAUUCGGAUCGGAUUCGGAUUGAGUCGGGCUGAGAUAGACUUGGAGGAGGAUUUUUUUUCUUUUUCCUCUCUUGCUGCUGCUGCUGCGGACCGGUACUGGGCAGCCGUCGUCAUUUUGCUGCUUCUCCUUCCCUAAACGAAGAACCUCGCUAGAUGGAAUUGAUCCGACUUCACGGCCCCGUCGGUCAUCUCAGCCUGGUCCUACUUGAUCCGCGGCUGUCAAAUGGAGAAAUGACCGGCUCGCACACCUCGCGGACGGCCGACUUUUUCCAUCCAUCCAUUUUCUUUACCCCCAAAAAUCGGUU